Molecule: long non-coding RNA, 1692 nt
Filed under: Brassica napus (rape)
Lineage: Eukaryota; Viridiplantae; Streptophyta; Magnoliopsida; Brassicales; Brassicaceae
Description: long non-coding RNA (BNAP_LNC013304)
Source: RNAcentral
AAAGAGAAGAUGCAGAGUGAGGAGAAUCUGUCUACAGGGGUUUAUGUUAAAAUGCUAAAAGUGUGUCGUUUUAAUUGUCGACACAAACUAGUCACAUCAUAGGUAUUUUCUUAAUUUCUUCAUUUUUUUAGGGUUUUAAACCAAUUCACCCUAUUAAUACUCGUACGCAAUGGUAGCUUGAUGUUUGUUAGUUGUAUUCAGACAUUUUUCUUUUUUGCAUUCCUCCCAAUUCAAUUUUGUAAAAAAAAAAAGAAAAAGUAGAAAUUUUUUCCUCAUCAAUUUUUAGUGGAGAAAUAAGAAAAUUAUGAAGUCGUUUCUAUUAUUAAAUAAUUUUAAUAAUAUUUGUAUAUUUUCAAAUUUAGUUUUUUGGGAAAUUAAUCAUUGUAAUUUUUUUAAAAACACAUUCAUCUUACAGUCACUAUUUCUCUAAAAAUAUUCAGAAAAUUUCAUAUUCAUAUUCAUUUUUCAAAAAAAAAUAUUUUCAUUCAUUUUUAUUUAUUCUUAUCAUUCAUUUUGACAUUAAUUAAUCAAAAUUAAUGAUAAUUAUUUUUAUUCUAUUCUACAUCUAAAUUUCAUAUCUUUUUUUUCUUCAUGUUCUUCUUUGUUUUAGUACUUUUACUUUAUAAUUUCUUUUUCGAAGAUAUUGCAUGCAUCAUAAUUUGGUUGACAUUAUGUAAUAUAGAUAUUCUUAUUUACAUUGUUUAUCUAAUGAAGAAGAUCAAAUAGUUUUCUUUGUGUAAUGAGUCUUAAAUUUAUAUCUUCUUGGAACUGAUAUAUAUCAUUUUUAUUAUGAAUUCUUUAGUAGUGAAAUUAAUUUGAACCCAUUUGAGUAGAAUAUGAGAUUUAGUAGUUUUGAGACUUUUACUUUUUAAUAUGUAAUAUUAAACGGAAAAUAAAAACUGAUAUUGAUGAUUUUGUAAAGCUCAUUUUUAUGGAGGAAAAGUGGUUAACUAUACAUAACAUUGUGCAUAUAUCAAAUGAAAGACAUUUAUGCAAAAUUGAUUAUUUUAUAUCAAACUAUCAUUUUAUUAAUCAAGUUUGAGGUGAUAUGAAUAACUAAAUCAAAAUAUUACGACAAUACAAGAUAAAUAACCUAUGAUAAUAACUAGCACUUCUCGCUAAUAUUUAUGUUGCAGAGUUUUCCGCCUGAGGUACAAAGGAGAGAUUGAAGUCAUUGAAACGUUCCAUCAUCCUAGAAAAAUCCUUCAAACUAUAUAGAGAAACAAUGCCAUACUCUUUGAUGUCGAGUCAUCAAGAUCAGCUCCGUGGACUGCCUGAGUGUUGAAGCAUGUAAUCCAUAUCCCAAAUGAGUGUUUCGAGUUCUGAGUGUAGGAGAGAUAUCCUACGAGUUUGAUUUUUAGAACCCAAUAAAUGAGUCUCCCAGGCCGAGACUGUCCAAACUCAACCGGACCCACUAUAUAUAGUGAAUCAUUACGCCACAAUCUGUUAACGUCUCAACGAGAUAGACGUUUUGUAAGCGUAAUACUUCUGCAUAUGGAAGUGGAAUUUGUCUUGAAUUUUUAUUUGGCUCUUCAGCAUUUACUUCAUGCCAAACACGACAUUCACCUUCCACGUAUCAAACAGUUUUCAGGGGGUUUCUGUUGGUAUCUUUGAAAAGAUUUUCAUUUCUAAUUUUUCAUAUAUACUAUAUUAAUUAUCACAGUGAAUACAUGUCUCUGUUUUCGGCAAGCA